Molecule: long non-coding RNA, 242 nt
Filed under: Elaeis guineensis (African oil palm)
Lineage: Eukaryota; Viridiplantae; Streptophyta; Magnoliopsida; Arecales; Arecaceae
Description: long non-coding RNA (EGUI_LNC015349)
Source: RNAcentral
GGUGAAUCUCAAGAGACCAUGUUGAAGGAGCCUUCAUUGGAUCAACACUUGAGGUAGGAGGUGAAAACCUUGUGCAACUUUAAGGUCCCGGUACUUAAAGAGCUCCUAUCAAUGCAGACAUUAUUUAAUAUCGGCAUCAGUCAGGUUGGUCCCCAAGGUGCGCAUGGAUCGCCUGCCUUAGGGCCUUGCGUUCUCUGAUUUUUACUUUACCUUUAUGCUAACCACUUGAUUGCUUUGGUUGU